CCAGGAAAAGCCUCUAAGCUUCAGAUUGUAAGGAAUCGUACCCCAAACCGACACAGGUGGUCGGGUAGAGAAUACCAAGGCGCUUGAGAGAACUCGGGUGAAGGAACUAGGCAAAAUGGUACCGUAACUUCGGGAGAAGGUACGCUCUCGACGGUGAAGUCCCUCGCGGAUGGAGCUAUUGAGAGUCGCAGAUACCAGGUGGCUGCAACUGUUUAUUAAAAACACAGCACUGUGCAA
This 237-nucleotide ribosomal RNA is filed under the name Vibrio parahaemolyticus. Its description in RNAcentral is "partial 23S ribosomal RNA". It matches the Rfam family "Bacterial large subunit ribosomal RNA", at positions 1608 to 1828 of the family's 2925-position model. Lineage: Bacteria; Pseudomonadati; Pseudomonadota; Gammaproteobacteria; Vibrionales; Vibrionaceae. The record is from RNAcentral.